This is a non-coding RNA of Rhizobium sp. Leaf453, 81 nucleotides long. NCBI's taxonomy places the organism in Bacteria, Pseudomonadati, Pseudomonadota, Alphaproteobacteria, Hyphomicrobiales, Rhizobiaceae. The record is from Rfam.
CCCAUGGGGUCUGCGAAUACCCCACGAGGCGUCAUGCCAGAAUUUCGCGUCCAUUCUUUCCAAAAAAGGGACGUAAUCAUG